RNAcentral lists this long non-coding RNA (171 nucleotides) under Fukomys damarensis (Damara mole-rat). RNAcentral describes it as "lncRNA (ENSFDAG00000028494.1)". Lineage: Eukaryota; Metazoa; Chordata; Mammalia; Rodentia; Bathyergidae. The record is from RNAcentral.
GGCGUUGGAGAGGGGCGGGGCGGCCGUCAGGAGGUGGGAGACGCCCGUCUGGAAGCGUCGCCUCGCGAAAAGUGGGCGCCCGGAUGUGUGUGCGCUCCCUUUCCUUUUGAAGUGAUCCCCAUACACGAGGUUGUGGAAGAGGAUCGUGGAGACGCGGGGAGGAGUGUCUGA